RNAcentral lists this ribosomal RNA (407 nucleotides) under uncultured bacterium. RNAcentral's name for it is "partial 16S ribosomal RNA". It matches the Rfam family "Bacterial small subunit ribosomal RNA", at positions 30 to 526 of the family's 1533-position model. The record is from RNAcentral.
AUUGAACGCUGGCGGCAGGCCUAACACAUGCAAGUCGAGCGGAGCGGCGGACGGGUGAGUAAGGCCUAGGACUCUGCCUGGGAGUGGGGGAUAACGUCAGGAAACGGGCGCUAAUACCGAAUACUCUCGGCUGAGCAUAGGUCGGAUUAGCUAGUUGGUGGGGUAAAGGCCUACCAAGGCGACGAUCCGUAACUGGUCUGAGAGGAUGAUCAGCCACACUGGAACGUAGACACGGUCCAGACUCCUACGGGAGGCAGCAGUGGGGAAUAUUGGACAAUGGGCGAAAGCCUGAUCCAGCCAUGCCGCGUGUUUGAAGAAGGUCUUCGGAUUGUAAAGCACUUUAAGUUGGGAGGCGUUACCAACAGAAUAAGCACCGGCUAACUUCGUGCCAGCAGCCGCGGUAAUUC